Molecule: ribosomal RNA, 482 nt
Filed under: uncultured bacterium
Lineage: Bacteria
Description: partial 16S ribosomal RNA
Rfam family: Bacterial small subunit ribosomal RNA
Source: RNAcentral
AGUGAACGUUGGCGGCGUGGAUUAGGCAUGCAAGUCGAGCGAGAACCGUAGCAAUACGGGGACAGCGGCGAAAGGGACAGUAAUGUGUAGGUACCUACCUCCGGGUUCGGGAUAGCUGCGGGAAACUGCAGGUAAUACCGAAUAACGUCUCCGGACCAAAGGUGUGAUUCCACCUGGAGAGGGGCCUGCAUCCUAUUAGCUUGUUGGCGGGGUAACGGCCCACCAAGGCGACGAUGGGUAGCGGGUGUGAGAGCACGACCCGCGUCAUUGGGACUGAGACACUGCCCAGACACCUGCGGGUGGCUGCAGUCGUGAAUCUUCGGCAAUGGGCGCAAGCCUGACCGAGCGACGCCGCGUGCGGGAUGAAGGCCUUCGGGUUGUAAACCGCUGUCGUAGAGGAGGAAAUGCAGGGGGGUUCUCCCCUCUGUUUGACCUAUUCUAGGAGGAAGUACGGGCUAAGUUCGUGCCAGCAGCCGCAGUAA